This 68-nucleotide transfer RNA is filed under the name Marmota monax (woodchuck). RNAcentral describes it as "tRNA.Gly". The record is from RNAcentral. Lineage: Eukaryota; Metazoa; Chordata; Mammalia; Rodentia; Sciuridae.
GGCUGGGGCUCAGAGGUAGAGUGCCAUGCCUGCCAUGCGUGAGGUGCUGGGUUCAAUCCUCAGCACCA